Molecule: ribosomal RNA, 253 nt
Filed under: uncultured bacterium
Lineage: Bacteria
Description: partial 16S ribosomal RNA
Rfam family: Bacterial small subunit ribosomal RNA
Source: RNAcentral
UACGAAGGGGGCUAGCGUUGGUCGGAAUGACUGGGCGUAAAGCGCACGUAGGCGGAUAUUUAAGUCAGGGGUGAAAUCCCGCAGCUCAACUGCGGAACUGCCUUUGAUACUGGGUAUCUUGAGUAUGGAAGAGGUAAGUGGAAUUCCGAGUGUAGAGGUGAAAUUCGUAGAUAUUCGGAGGAACACCAGUGGCGAAGGCGGCUUACUGGUCCAUUAUUGACGUUGAGGUGCGAAAGCGUCGGGAGCAAACAGG